RNAcentral lists this ribosomal RNA (180 nucleotides) under uncultured bacterium. RNAcentral's name for it is "partial 16S ribosomal RNA". It matches the Rfam family "Bacterial small subunit ribosomal RNA", at positions 1321 to 1500 of the family's 1533-position model. The record is from RNAcentral.
CGAAGUUGGAAUUGCUAGUAAUCGUGGAUCAGCAUGCCACGGUGAAUACGUUCCCGGGUCUUGUACACACCGCCCGUCACACCAUGGGAGUCGGUAACACCCGAAGUCAGUAGUCUAACCGCAAGGAGGACGCUGCCGAAGGUGGGAUUGACGACUGGGGUGAAGUCGUAACAAGGUACC